UACGGGGGGGGUAAGCGUUGUUCGGAAUUACUGGGCGUAAAGGGCUCGUAGGCGGCCAACUAAGUCAGACGUGAAAUCCCUCAGCUUAACUGGGGAACUGCGUCUGAUACUGGAUGGCUUGGAUUCGGGAGAGGAAUGCGGAAUUCCAGGUGUAGCGGUGAAAUGCGUAGAUAUCUGGAGGAACACCGGUGGCGAAGGCGGCGUUCUGGACUGCAACUGACACUGAGGAACGAAAGCCAGGGGAGCAAACGGG
RNAcentral lists this ribosomal RNA (253 nucleotides) under uncultured bacterium. RNAcentral describes it as "partial 16S ribosomal RNA". It matches the Rfam family "Bacterial small subunit ribosomal RNA", at positions 524 to 776 of the family's 1533-position model. The record is from RNAcentral.